AGAAGGUGUGUCCACUAUUUUCCCAGUGGUGUAUGAAAGGCAGGCCAGCUCCUGAACCCCAACGUUGUUCCUCAAGUUUUUUUUGCCUGGUCUGUAUCAAAAGACAGAAUCUUGAUGACUAAGACAUUUUCUUUGGUACCUACAAGAAGGAUCCAGCUCUCUACUUCUAUCAGCUCCUGGAUGACUACAAGAAAGGGAACCUCCACAUCAUUCCAGACACUCCUCUGGCUGAGGAGAGAUCAGGAGAUGACAGUGAUGUGUUGAUAGACAGAGACAUCAUGGCCUCCAUGCAGAGGAAUGUGUGGAUGGACAUAUAUUUAAGGAAGACACUAAACCAGAAAAUACCACAUUACACCCUCUUAAAAGACUUCUAAGAUUGUUGUCAUGCCUACCACAGACAUUCAGAUGAUGUGUAUUCUUGAUUGUGAUUUCAUGUUUGGAGCUGAUGAAGGAGAAAGUACCUGGAAUGUCCUAGAAUUCUCAAGACCCAGGAGAUGAACAUAUGCCUGAGAAGAAGAACUAGUGUGGAACUGUCAGCCAGGUUUUUGAUGAGUGCUCAGACUGCUUUUUGAUCCGGCACCACAUUUACUAUAGUGGACAGAUGCUCUAGUCUCUGAUGAGGAGUUGCUAGCUGUUAGGAAAAACCUGGAAUGGGCUCCACUGCAUGAGGCUUGGUCGAAGCCUUCCCCACUAAUAACAAGAACACCCAUGCCAUGGGAAAGAAGAUAUUAGAGGAAAAUUUCCCAAGAUUUGGCAUCUCUAAGGUACUUUCAUCAGACAAUGGCCCCUCCUUCAUUGUCCAGAACCCCCUCUAGCUCACUUGAAGGCCCUACAAUUGGUCAGAAAAGAUGCCUUGGAAAUGCUGAAACACAAUAAAAAACAAAAACAAAAACAAAAAAACAAAAAAACAUACUAACCAGGAACCAUCUUCGUGCCACAUAAAUUUCAAACAGAAGAUCCUGUCCGGGUCCGGUGCCACCAUUCUGGCAAACUUGAACUCAGAUCAAAAGGAUGCUCCCUGGUGCUUCUGACAAGCCCUGCUGCCGCACCUCCAGCAUGUAACCGCUUCUGGCCUGCCAUGGCCCACUGGCCUGGCACUGCACA
RNAcentral lists this long non-coding RNA (1104 nucleotides) under Mus musculus (house mouse). RNAcentral's name for it is "predicted gene, 57870". The record is from RNAcentral. Lineage: Eukaryota; Metazoa; Chordata; Mammalia; Rodentia; Muridae.